This 70-nucleotide transfer RNA is filed under the name Paralvinella hessleri. RNAcentral describes it as "tRNA-Trp". Lineage: Eukaryota; Metazoa; Annelida; Polychaeta; Terebellida; Alvinellidae. The record is from RNAcentral.
AGAGCCUUAAGUUAAUGAAAACUCUAAUCCUUCAAAGUUUAAAACAGAAAGCCCAACUUUCUAGGCUCUG